RNAcentral lists this ribosomal RNA (261 nucleotides) under uncultured Atopobium sp. RNAcentral's name for it is "partial 16S ribosomal RNA". It matches the Rfam family "Bacterial small subunit ribosomal RNA", at positions 255 to 525 of the family's 1533-position model. The record is from RNAcentral. Lineage: Bacteria; Bacillati; Actinomycetota; Coriobacteriia; Coriobacteriales; Atopobiaceae.
GGGUAGUGGCCUACCAAGGCAAUGAUGGGUAGCCGGGUUGAGAGACCGACCGGCCAGAUUGGGACUGAGACACGGCCCAGACUCCUACGGGAGGCAGCAGUGGGGAAUCUUGCACAAUGGGCGAAAGCCUGAUGCAGCGACGCCGCGUGCGGGAUGAAGGCCUUCGGGUUGUAAACCGCUUUCAGCAGGGGACGAGGCCGCAAGGUGACGGUACCUGCAGAAGAAGCCCCGGCUAAUUCCGUGCCAGCAGCCGCGGUAAAU